Molecule: long non-coding RNA, 583 nt
Filed under: Oryzias javanicus (javanese ricefish)
Lineage: Eukaryota; Metazoa; Chordata; Actinopteri; Beloniformes; Adrianichthyidae
Description: lncRNA (ENSOJAG00000011899.1)
Source: RNAcentral
UCAGGUAGGGAGGGACAAUGGUACCAGAGCCGCCUGUCAAUACAAAGCAUGUGAUCUGACUGUGGAUUCCUAUAAGAAGGUGCAAAGUGACAACAAAAACAAACCGCAGUUUUUGCAGACCCCCAAAAUCCUUCAACUCAAAUCUACAGCCACAAUGAGAUUUCUUUGUGUUUUGAUUGCUGCGACAGCAUUUCAUAGUGCGCUCUCUGCAUCUUUUCAGUCUGCAUCAAAUGUGGAAAUAACAACUCCAUAUGAUGGGCUCACAGAGCUACAAAAAAUAGACCAAAUGGAGUUUGAGGCAGCUCAAAAGGCUGAAGAAGGACAGAUGAAUGUUACAGAGGGGCGGGAUGAAGAUGCUGAAAAUACCACGGAGGAGCAUGUUGAAGCUGAGAAUGACUCCACAGUGCAUCCUAACUGUGACGCUGUUUCUCCAGCAGAGGGCGCUGGGAGCAAUGCUGACUCUUCAAGAGAGGAGUCAAGCUCAUGUGAAGACGCUGUGGACCACCCUGAGGUUGUGACAGAGAUGGCCAAUUUGGGGGAACCCACUCAGACUGUACCAGAACAAGAAGAUGUAUUGGAGUGA